RNAcentral lists this ribosomal RNA (670 nucleotides) under Cibicides refulgens. RNAcentral's name for it is "SSU rRNA". The stretch from base 1 to 422 matches the Rfam family "Eukaryotic small subunit ribosomal RNA", at positions 1246 to 1501 of the family's 1831-position model. The record is from RNAcentral. Lineage: Eukaryota; Foraminifera; Rotaliida; Cibicididae.
GGCAAUAUUAAUAUUACACUCUCUUCGUAGAUGUGUAUAUUAUGUUAAAUAUGCUAGUCCUUUCAUGAUUAUGUGAUAGGUGGUGCAUGGCCGUUCUUAGUUCGUGGAGUGAUCUGUAUGCUUAAUUGCGUUUCACUAAGGGCCUAUAAAUUUACGUAUGUUGCGGCACUUUGACCCCUUUUCUCGUUAAAAGCGCGCGUCUUAGUUUGCUUUGCUCAUACAAUUAGGUCCUGAAAGCAACGAACGUGACCGCAACCUCUUGUUGCCUUUAUUACCAAACAUUGUUUAUGCGUUCUGCGCAUAUCGAUGAAAAAAGGCUUUUUAAACUAGAGGGACCGCUGUUACUUUCUUAAACCAGAGGAAGGUUGCGGCAAUAACAGGUCUGUGAUGCCCUUAGAUGUUCCGGGCUGCACACGUGCUACAAUGAUUAUUGCAGUGAGCAUCUCAUUUUUUACACACCGCAUGCGCGAGUCCAUUUAUUCAUUAUCCUUCGGGUUAUGCUUUAAAUGUGUAUCUCUGCGCGCGGUAAAGCCUGCUUCGAAAGUAAGUGGGUAAUCAAUUAGAAGUAAUGAUUUCCUUUUUUUUUAGCACACAUAUAUACGGCGUUUAUACCCGGGUAAUGCUUGUCGUUACUUUUGUGCGUAUAGAUGUUUUUUCCGUAUGUGCGAUU